RNAcentral lists this long non-coding RNA (3262 nucleotides) under Marmota monax (woodchuck). Lineage: Eukaryota; Metazoa; Chordata; Mammalia; Rodentia; Sciuridae. The record is from RNAcentral.
AGACAAUACAAUGAUCUUGACAUAUUAUACAUCUGAUUCAAAUAGGGUAUGAAUUGUCAUUUUUCCACGUAUACAGAUUGCAGAAUCACAUUGGUUAUACAUCCAUGUGUAUUUAUUUUUAUGUGGUGCUGAGGAUCAAACCUAGUGCCUCACAUUUGCUAGGCAAGUGCUCUACCACUGAGCCACAAUCCCAAUCCCAGGAAUUGCAAAGAUUUUGAUCCAAAAAUUCUGCUUAAAAUUUUUAUUCACAUCAACCAUAAGCCAUGGAACUAAAACCCAUUAUAAGUGUAUAAAAUAUUUUUACUCCAAUAGUCUUCGGAUGGAGAGUAACAUACCUUUUCCUAUUUUUCUAAACUAUUUUUAGAACUUAUAGUACAGAAGAAUUUCAUUUGGCUGUGUCUUUUUGCUUUCUUUCAAUUCUUAUUAUGAGGACUUCCUUCCCCAAACAGUGUUUACUAAAACGUGUGCAAAUUCAACAGUAGAUUUAUAUGCUGUAAAGAUGUGUUUUAUUAUCAGCGCAAACACAUACUUCUAAGUUAUUAAUUACACUUAUCCUCUACAGCUAAUGAUUUAUGAUAAGUUUUCAAUAUCUUGUGCUAAUAUACUUUUCUUCAUAGAUGACAUCUAGUCUACUAGUCAAAGUCUAUUUGAGUCUAAAUGCACUUUGGGGACUAUUGUGAUUUCUAUUAUGGUUUAGAUAUGAGGUACUUCCCAAAAAUUCAUGGGUUAUCCAAAGUGUCAAUGUUCAAAGUUGAAAGGAUUUAAUUAUUAGAGCUGUAACCUCAUCAGUGGAUUAAUCCAUUUGAUGUGUUAAUAAUUUGAAAGAACUACUAUACUAGGUGGUAACUAUAGAUAAGUAGGGUAUAGUUUGAGAAAGUAGGUUACUUGGGGAAUGCCCUUAGGGAUUAUAUUUGUACCUACUCCCUCACUCUCUUUGAUUCCUGGCUGCCAUAAGCUGAGCAGUUCUCCACAACCUACUUCUGACAUGAUAUUCUUCCUCACCUUACCACAGGCCCAGAGCAAUGAAGUUGGUGAUCAUGGACUGAACCUCUGAAACCAUGAGCUCAAAAUAAACUUUUCCUUCUCUAAAUUUUUCUUGUCAGGUAUUUCAUUCAUAGUGACAAAAACUAAGUAAUGUAAUUCUGUUCUUAACUAAGCUUCAUUAUAUUCAAGACCUUUAUUUAUACAUACAAUGAUCUCAGUCUGGUUUUCCCAUUCAUAAAAGAACAUGAUGUAAUAAUACAGUAAUAUAACAGAGUUGUCAAUUUGAACUGGAAGCACCAGAAGUCAAGAAUUUGAAAGGAAAUUUGGAGACAUACAAGAGGUCAUAUCUGCACAAUAGAUACUAUUGAGGGAUGUCAGUAUAUGGUUUACUAAGUUUCCAUUAUGUAUAAGCCAAAGUUGGAAAAUUGAAAGUCCUUUCUUUCAGUGUUUUCUGAUACUGUUGCUCUCCUCUGUAAAUCCUGUUUAAUAGAUCCUGGGGUGCUACAUGGAGGAUUGCACACUGGAUGCCCUAUGGAUUUAGUGUGGCUAUUUAUGUCUUUAUUUUCUUUGUCUCAAAGGCCCCUGCAAUUUUCAAUUUCUGAAAAAUUAUUGAAAUAUUUCACAUGAAAACAAAAGUAAGGAUUUCAAGAAAUUAAAACACUUGAAAGGCUAUGGAGCAUAGACUGGAAUCAAUCAGGAUGGGAACUGAUUUCAGGUUCAAUUAUUUUUCACUUAAGAGAGAAUUGUUGUUAAUUCCUAUUAACCUUAGUUUUAUCCACUUGUAAAAUUAGGAUACUGCCUACCUACAGUAUCCUAUACUGCAGGAUUGUUAGUGUUCAAUAAAAUACCUGUAACUUUCCUAGCACAGUAUCUGGCACAGAUAUACUAGGUAUCAACUACUAUUGUUCAAAUUGUCUGCUGCUUUCUGAGUUAUAUGGAUGUUAAUGCCUUGAGUCACAAACAGAAAUGGAUUUUUAAAAAUUGAAUAGGGUUAUAUAAAUUUCCAUUUAGUAAAUUACAUAAAUAGUCUAAUCUGCUGUUUAUACACUUAAGCCUUAAAUUUGCCAAGAUUUUGUUUGAGUGCCAUUGUGGUAUAAUAGAACAAGCAUGCAGGUAUAUUGGUUUUAUAACUGAAAUAAAAUCCUAACUGUUGGUGAAUUUUGGUAAUGUCAGUAAGUACAAAAUAAAAUUUAGAUUUUGUUAACUAAUCUAGUGGGGGUAAUAAUAUCUACUUUGCAGUAAAAACAUGAGCUAGGUAUGUGGUACUUCACAGUAGCUCAAAUAUUCUUUACUUCUUUCAAUUUUUUUGCCUCAAGUAUGCAAAAGAAUCAAGCAUUCCCAUGUUCAAUUCUAGCUAGAAAACAUUGUAUGUAAAUUAUGCCUUAGAUGGUGUGGUGCAGAGAUAUUGGCCAAAUGGUUUAGGAUCUCUGAUAACUAGUACUGGAAGGAACCUUUUACAUGACCUGCUCUAGCUUUGUCAUUCUUGAAAUAACGGCACCAAAUAUUACACCUUACCUAAAAUCCCACAUAAUAACAUAGUAUGUUAAAUUUGUAUGUGUGUUUAGGUUAAAAACUGUUUGUACGCAUCACCUUUGAGACAAUUGAUGUGCAAUUGCUUAACAAAUUCUGUUUCCUUGUAAUAGAGAAUUAGAAUUUGAAAGAGAUAUUUCAUUACUUUAAUGUUGAAUGUAUAGCUAAAUUAAACUCUCCAGCAUUUAACAUUUACACAUGGUGAUGAUCUCAAUAUAUGAUCUCAAUAGAGUUGCUCGUGUGUGUGUGUGUGUCUGUGUGUGUUUGUUUUACGAGGGACAACUCAGAGCCUUGCACAUGCUGAAAAAGCACUCAACCAAAUUGUGCUCCCAUCAAGCUACCUUCCCAGCCCUUUUUAAUUUUAUCUUGAGACAGGGUCUUCCAAAGUUGUAAAGGCUGGCCUCCAACUUGCAAUCCUAACUGUCUAGGGCUAAAAGAGGUACAUUUGAGGUACAUUUAAAUGAAUUAUAUUCCAUUGAAGUCGUCUGUCUAAGGUGGAAGGUACUAAUGUCAGGAGUUUCAAAUAGACUCUCUCACCACCAAAGGGGAGACAGGAGGGAGAGGGUGGUUUCCAUUACUGAAGUGACAAGUGAUAAAUGUUUGAUGAGUCAGAUGGAAGUACUAUCUUCACUGACUACAGGUAGAAAAUAAAAUGAACCAUCCUAAAGUAGUUUGCACUCAGACUGAGAUGGACUUUGGAUCCUUGGCCACAGACUCCUAGAUAAUGGAUGCAUAUUGCUGUCCUUUC